Long non-coding RNA from Myotis davidii, 283 nucleotides. RefSeq lists it as uncharacterized. The transcript is spliced from 3 exons. Lineage: Eukaryota; Metazoa; Chordata; Mammalia; Chiroptera; Vespertilionidae. The record is from RefSeq and is a predicted model, not a curated record.
UAUAUAUGUUCACACACACACACAUAUAUAUAUAUACACACACACAUACAUAUAUAUAUAUAUUAUGUAUAAAAAGUUUUGUUUACAUCAAGUGGAAUUGGCAAUCCAUGCUUAUACUUUUAAAAUCUAAGCAGGGCAGAAAUCCAGACUAUAAAGAUAUUUAUUCUAUGUUGAGUCCAAUAGCUUCUUUCAAAAACUACUCGUUAAAAGCCUCAAAUAGUCAACAAAACAAGAAAACUCAUCCAUACUACAGUCGCUCAAAACUGGACAUUUCUUAAUCAAC